RNAcentral lists this ribosomal RNA (3258 nucleotides) under Pinus taeda (loblolly pine). RNAcentral's name for it is "eukaryotic LSU rRNA". It matches the Rfam family "Eukaryotic large subunit ribosomal RNA". Lineage: Eukaryota; Viridiplantae; Streptophyta; Pinopsida; Pinales; Pinaceae. The record is from RNAcentral.
GUGACCUCAGCUCAGGCGAGAACACCCACAGAUUUUAAGCAUAUAAUUAAGCAGAGGAAAAAAAACUUACAGGGAUUCCGCUAGUAGUGGCGAGCGAACUGGGAACAACCUAGCAUGAAAAUCGGGUGACAACGUUGCCUGAAUUGUAGUCUAUAGAAGCGUCCUCAGCGGCAGACCUGGGCAUAUUCCCUUGGAAGGGGGCGCCUGAGAGGGUGACAGCCCCGUCGGCCAGGGACCUUGCCGCAUCACGAGGCGUUGUCGGCGAGUCGGAUUGCUUGGGAAUGCAGCCCUAAUUGGGUGGUAAAUUCUGUCCAAGGCUAAAUACAGGCGAGAGACUGAUAGUGAACAAGUAUCACGAGGGAAAGAUGAAAAGGACUUUGAAAAGAGAGUUAAAGAGUGCUUGAAAUUGCCAGGAGGGAAGCAGAUGGAGGUUGUCAAUGCAUCUCGGUCGGAUGUGGAACGGCUCAGGCUGGUCUGCCACUCGACUUGAGGUGCAAACCAACACGGGCUGCUGCAUCAUCACAAGCGUGGGUGGAUUGCUGCUUGUCAGUUUACUGCUGUAGUGGUCGAGGAAUGAAGCGUGCACCCUUGUCGCAGGCUGUGUGCACCUGCACGCUCGUGGUGUUGGUCGGUGGGCUUUCCAUUCGACCCGUCUUGAAACACAGACCAAGGAGUCUAACAUGUGUGCGAGUCGACGGGUUUGAAAACUUGCGAGGCGCAAGGAAGUUGACGGGCGAGAUCCCCUCUCUUGGGUGGGUGCAUCGUCGACCGACCUUGAGCUUAUGUGAAGGGUUCGAGUGCAAGCACACCUGUUGGGACCCAAAAGAUGGUGAACUAUGCCUGAGCAAGGUGAAGCUAGAGGAAACUCUGGCGGAGGCUUGUAGCGAUACUGACGUGCAAAUCGUUCGUCUGACUUGGGUAUAGGGGUGAAAGACUAAUCGAACCAUCUAGUAGUUGGUUUCCUCAGGUAAAGCAAAUGAUUAGAGGCAUUAGGGGCGUAACGCCCUCGACCUAUUCUCAAACUUUAAAUAGGUAAGAGGGUGCGAUUGCUCCAUUGAGCCGCGCCGUGGAAUGGAGAGCUCCAAGUGGGCCAUUUUUGGUAAGAAGAACUGGUGAUGCGAGAUGAACCAAAAGUUUAGUUACGGUGCCAAAUUGCAUGCUAACCUACAUCACACAAAGGGUGUUGGUUGAUUAAGACAGCAGGACGAUGGUCAUGGAAGUCGAAAUCCGCUAAGGAGUGUGUAACAACUCACCUGCCGAAUCAACUAGCCCUGAAAAUGGAUGGCGCUGAAGCGUGCAACCUAUACUCGACUAUUGGAGCAAUUUCCUCGCUCCGAUGAGUAGGAGGACGCGGGGGUCAUUGAGAAACCUUGGGUGUGAGCUUGGGUGGAUCGGCCCACAGUGCAGAUCUUGGUGGUAGUAGAAAAUAUUCAAAUGAGAACUUUGAAGACUGAAGUGGGGAAAGGUUCCAUGUGAACAUCACUUGGACAUGGGUUAAUCGAUCCUAAGAGAUGGGGAAGCCUUGUAUCAAGGGUGCACUCUGCACAAGCAUCGAAAGGGAAUCGGGUUAAUAUUCCCGAACCGGGACAUGGCGGCGAGCGGAAACUUUAGGAAAUCUGGAGACGUCGUCGGGGGCCCUUGGAAGAGUUAUCUUUUCUUUUUAAUAGCUUGCCCACCCUGGAAUCAGUUCACCCGGAGAUAGGGUCCAACGGCUGGAAGAGAACCGCACGUCUUGCGGUGUCCGCUGCGCCCUUGGUGGCCCUUGAAAAUCUGAGGACCAGGUACCGUUCAUGCCUGAUCGUACUCAUAACCACAUCAGGUCUCCAAGGUGAACAACCUCUCGUCAAUAGAACAAUGUAGGUAAGGGAAGUCGGAAAAACAGAUCCGUAACUUCGGGAAAAGGAUUGGCUCUGAGGGCUGGGCCUAGGGGUCUACACCCUCAACUCAUGGGCUGUUGGCAGUCUGCCUGAGCUACUCUCGCGGCGAGGGCGGGCAGUCGCGUGCCGAUUGGGGUACGAGCGUAGAAUGCCCCCUACCGGGGGAUUUUCCCUAAGCGUCGAACAGUCGACUCAAAACUGGUAUGGACAAGGGGAAUCCGACUCUUUAAUUAAAACAAAGCAUUGCGAUGGUCCCUACGGAUGAUGACACAAAGUGAUUUCUGCCCAGUGCUCUAAAUGUCAAAGUGAAGGAAUUCAACCAAGCGCAGGUAAACGGUGGGAGUAACUAUGACUCUCUUAAGGUAGCCAAAUGCCUCGUCAUAUAAUUAGUGAUGUGCUUGAAUGGAUUAACGAGAUUCCCACUAUCCUAUCUACUAUCUAGCAGAACCACAGCCAAGGGAAUAGGCUUGGCAGAAUCAGCAAGGAAAGAAGACCCUGUUGAGCUUGACUCUAGUUUGACUUUGUGAAAUGACUUGAGAGGUGUAGAAUAAGUGGGAGCCGUUUUCGGUGCAAGUGAAAUACCACUACUUUUAACGUUAUUUUACUUAUUCCGUGGGGCGAAGAUGGGGCACUGCCCCUGUUUUUGGCCUUAAGGCAUGUUUCGGCAGGUCAAUCCGGGCGGAAGACAUUGUCAGGUGGGGAGUUUGGCUGGGGCGGUACAUCUGUUGAAAGAUAAUGCAGGUGUCCUAAGAUGAGCUCAACGAGAACACAAAUCUCGUGUGGAACAAAAGGGUAAAAGAUCAUUUGAUUUUGAUUUUCAGUACGAAUACAAACCGUGAAAGCGUGGCUUAUCGAUCGUUUAGAUUUUCGGAAUUUGAAGCUAGAGGUGUUAGAAAAAAUACCACAGGGAUAACUGUCUUGUGGCAGCCAAGCAUUUAUAGCGACGUUGCUUUUUGAUCCUUUGAUGUCGGCUCUUCCUAUCAUUGUGAAGCAGAAUUCACCAAGUUUUGGAUUGUUCACCCACCAAUAGGGAACGUGAGUUGGGUUUAGACCGUCGUGAGACAGGUUAGUUUUACCCUACUGAUGAACCACAGCACAAUAGUAAUUCAACUUAGUAUGAGACGAACCGUUGAUUCACACAAUUGGUCAUCGCGUUUGGUUGAAAAGCCAGUGGCGCGAAGCUAUCGUGUGUUGGAUUAUAACUAAACACCUCUAAGUCAGAAUCCAUGCUAGAAGUGGUGCAUGUCACUCUUCGACUGUAUCUCGACCUGCAUUAGGGGCAUCGCUUUGUCACCCCCAGGGGCCCAUGUCAUUUGCAAACCGUGACCGUGAAGCAUCUCGGUCGGGGCAACUUUGAAGUUCAAUUCCAAAGUGUCAUUGA